This is a long non-coding RNA of Catharus ustulatus (Swainson's thrush), 1454 nucleotides long. RefSeq lists it as uncharacterized. Lineage: Eukaryota; Metazoa; Chordata; Aves; Passeriformes; Turdidae. The record is from RefSeq and is a predicted model, not a curated record. The transcript is spliced from 2 exons.
CUGCCUGCGGGCGGAGGUUUCCGCGCUGGGCCGGGCCCGGGGCAGCCCGGGCUGAGCUCCGGUUCUCGGUGUUGGCCAGCAAUCACACUGCGGGUGGUUCUGUGUGUGGGGAAGUGGUAGUGGAUGCAAAUGGCACAUUUCAGAAAUCUGUCUUGACAAAGUGGAAAGAUAGAAUUUGAUUUUAAGAGCUCUCUGAUCAGUGUUUAUAGGAUUUCAGUAUAAUUUUCUUUUUUCCCCCUCAUUGUCCUUUACAUUUUUGUCUAUGCUUAUGCUUAUUUUCCCAGCUGUGCAGUGACAAGGAGGAUGUACAAAACCAAACAACAUACAGGCUUGGUGAUGAUGAGACAUCAGAGGAACAUUCAGAUGCAUAGAAACAACUGCCAGCAAGAGCUGAAAUGUAAAAAAUAAAUAUGUUUGCAGGGGAUCCAGCAGAGAGAAUAGCAAGAUUAUACUAAGCAACUGCAUACGACUGCAUGAGAUGACACGAGGCCACCUCUCCUGUGUAGCCCACACUCCAUGUCCGAGCGCCGAGUCCAUGGAUGGACCUCUUUAUCCUGAUUGUACUGCCUGCUUUCCAAGGAUGCUCUGGCAUUCCAGCAGAGCAGUCAGCACUGAAAGGCCUGGUCAUGUAUCUGAGGUGUCAGCAUCUCAGUUACCUUGGAAUUCCAAAAGGUUCCUUGUCCUUCUUGUGACCCCUAAACAGGCUUGGAGCUCUGUGUGUCCAUGUGGUGACUCCCCUUGGGAAGCCAAUGGUGUUUCCUGCUUACUUAAAAACCUUUAAAAAUGAAGUGUCAGUGUACUAAACAGGAGGCUUCUCAUAGGGAGGGUGGAGGAUGAAGGCUGUUUGGAGCACAGGUGUUGACUCCUCAGAUCUUUUGUUGUCAUCCAUGUGUGACAGUUUCUGUACUACUUACGUGGUUAACCUUUGUAAAUAUUGUUUUAACUUGGGGUUAAUGCCAUAGUAGAGGUACUUGUGACUUUUGGGUGCUCCUCCCAGUAGUGUGUUAAGAGUCACUGGAACCAGUCAGCCACAUGGGUGCAAUCCUUGCAGCACAGUGCCUGUUUGAACUCGUUUGUGACAUGAGCCUGUCACUAAAUGCAAUUUGCGUGGAGGGAGGGUUUUGUGCUGAGGUUUUGUGCUCUCACCACUUCUUCAGUUCAUGGAAAAGCCAGGAUGAAAGAGUUCAGUAUAAUGAGCAGUGUUGCAUGGAGACAAGAUCAGCAGAUGUUCUUAUUGAAGUUAGAAGAACUUUUGCCCCAUUUUUAUGUUAGAAAGAAUAAUGUCACUGUCAUUAUGUCUUAAAUCUGCCUAUUUUGCAACACAGUGUGUUAGAUGGGGUCUUUGAUAAAAUACAGCUUCAUGCUAAAAAUAAAAGGUAAAGGCUAUUCACUUGCUCAACUUAAUUAUUAAUGUUUUGGAAAAUCCUAACCAUGCUACUAAGUGUCACAUUCAA